Oreochromis aureus is the source of this 3240-nucleotide long non-coding RNA. RefSeq lists it as uncharacterized. Lineage: Eukaryota; Metazoa; Chordata; Actinopteri; Cichliformes; Cichlidae. The transcript is spliced from 4 exons. The record is from RefSeq and is a predicted model, not a curated record.
AGCGCAUGCUAGUAGCAAGGGUCAAAUGCUAGAGCAAGAAAUCCUGAUUAGUCAGGAAAAGUACUUUCUGCAGUGGAAAAGGUAACAGCCUGUAACCGGGAUUUGGUUGAGGAGGAGCAGAAUGGAAUCACCAAGAAGACCGGAUGUUGUUUCUACAGGAAUUAUAGUACUUCCGACUGUCUUGAGAGACUGUGUGUGUGUCUGUGCAUGUGUUUUACUCUUUUGCUCAAGAGCAGGAGGGAGAUGCUUCAGAUGUGUUGUCCUUUCAUUCCGGAGUCCUCCUUUGAGGGAUGAAAGAUUUUGUCUGCGGUGCCCUGGGAGCUGUGUACCCCGCUGUUUGGUAAUAUCGGAAAUUAAUUCCUCCACCCGUCCCAGUUGUGCCUAAACAAUUCAAGGGCAGUGUUAGAUCCUCAAAUUGAGAAUUUACUGAAAGGCCUUUGUACCACCGCCAGUGAUAGCGUUUUUGUUAAGGAUAAUUCCAUUUAUCAUUACUGUGUCCUACCACAAACUGGUUUGUAUUACCCAAACAACAAAUUAUAUGUGACGCUCAAUCACAAGGGUUGUUACUCAUUAAUGGAAGUUGUUUUUUUUUCCUUCUUAAAGCCAGUGUUAAAGAAGUAGAAAGAAAACAGAUAAUUCUUUGAAGUGGAAGCAGAGGUCUCCACAAAGAAGAAUUUCAAGAAACAGAAGGCAGGACGGGAAUGGAGAAAGAGAUAGGGUGACAUCUGGAGAGAGCUGGGAGUAGACCUGCUGCUCCUCUGUGUUGAAAGGAGCCAGUUGAGGCGUUUCGGGCAUCUGGAUAAGAUGCCUCCUGGGUGCCUUCCUAUGGAGGUUUACCAGGCAAGUCCAACUUGGAAGAGACCUCAGGGUAUCUCCAGAAGCUGCUGGAGAGAUUAUAUAUCUUAUCUGGUUUGGGAAUGCCUUGGGCUUCCUCCAGGAGCAGCUGGAAAUUGCUGCUGGGGAGAAGGACAUCUGGAGUACCCUGCUUAGCCUACUGCCACUGCUAGACAAUUUUGGAUAAGCAGAAGAUAAUGGAUGAUUGAUGGCUGCAUAAUUAGCUAGCAACAGGUCUGUAAACUGAUUGGUUAACUUCAAAGAAAUGUGCUACUUUGUGGAAAUAAUUCAACAAUACAAUGUUACAUACACUAUCAGAGAAUUCCCUCUCUGUGAUUGACAAGAUCAAAAACCAAUGCUGAAUCUCACUGAACCUUAGGGCCCCACUCUGCACUUCUUUAAAGCAGUCAAGAUUGUCUAGUAAAAGUAAAGAGAGUUCCAGAAACACUUCUGAAAAUCCCUGUGAGUGAACAGCAAAGAACACCUACAUGUUCACUACUUGUUAUUUUUGUCAGAGUUGUUAUUUUAACAAUUAGUGGGUGGAGAGGCUUUACUCCUUUUGUUUGUACUUUUCAACAUUUGGAUUGUAGGGGGUAGUUACUUGAGGUAAUGCAUUUAUACAGGGUACUUUCAUUCAGGUGCACCACUGGGAAAGCAACAGUUUUUGACUGUAUUCUCUGUAGCACGUCCAUUACCACUGAAAUAUAAAGUUAGGCUGCAUAACUAAUGCUCCUCUAGCUGUUCCCAGAGAGCUGAUUUGAAUUAAAUUCUUGUGCCUUUGAUUCCACUAAAUCCCAAAUCACUUUGAUUCAAGCCCAGACUUUGACUUGGCCAGUCCAUCAGUUCCAGUACUCCAGAUUCCCUUUUCCUGGUCAAACAGUCUCUGCACAGCUUUGAAAUUUGCUUGGGGCCAUUGUCUUGUUAAACACACAAUUAAUCAGUUUUGCUUCAGAAUGUUCAUAGUUUUUAUGGACAGAGUUUCUAGGUGUAGCCAAGUGGCAGAGGCUUGCACUUCAGUAGUCUCAGAAUCUCAUCUCUGCUUUUCGCAAAUGAUGUGAGGUGAGUGUGAAGCGACAGGAAUGAGAAUCAGCACCUCCAAGUCUGAGGCCAUGGUUCUCAGCUGAAAAGGGUGAAGUGAAGAAAUAACAAGAUUGCGGAUACAAGUGACGGAAAGGAGCUUCCUUGAAAGGGUAGCUAGCCGCUUCCUUUGAGAUAGGGUAAGGAGUUCAAGAAGGGCUCCGAGUAGGGUCGCUACUCCUUCAUGCACCUCCUGGGUGAGGUGUUCUGGGCAUAUCCCACUGGACGGAGGACCCGGGCAGACCCAGGACAAGCUGGAGAGAUUAUAUCUCUUUGUUGCCCUGCGAAUGCUUCGAUGUUCCCCCAGAAAAGGUGGAAGAGGUGGCUAGAGAGAGGGAGGUCCCUAGCCACUUGGGCUUCUCUACUAAGGCUGACCCGGCCCCUGGUAAGUGGAAGAAGAUGGAUGGAUGGAGGGGUCGGAUGGGUGGUUCAGGAGGGAUUCCAACUUUUUGGUGGAUCCAAGAUGUUGUGGCAGACCUUCUUCACUAAUGUGUCCAUGCCGCUUCUAUAAUAACUAUACCAUAAAGGAAUCUUGCCCCUUUUUCACUGUCUUUGCAAUCCAUCUAACAUUCUCCAGCUUUUCUGUGGACAAACACAAUAUUACUGACCGAAGAGCUGAAAUUUGUACUUGUCUGUCCAAAGUACCUUUUUCCAGUUAUCUACAGCUCAGUGUUUGUGAUCAGCUUUCAUAUUCUGCCUCUUCCUUGGCGCAUUUUGUAAGUACCAGUCUCAGCAAUUGACUCCAAAGCAUGACCACACUGUGAGAACACUUUUAGUCUUGCCCAGAUUGUCUCAAAGAUCAUCCAUCAUCACAAAGUGCUUUAUUGCAGACUCUUUCCUUUUCAGUGAGUUCUCUACAUUUCACAUUUUUUGAACAGGAGUGAGGAAUUUUAGACGCAAUCCAUAUAUUUAUACCUACAGUUUUAGCCAGCACACUGGACUUCCCUGAGAAGUCAGAAGUGUAAUAAGUGUAAUUUUAAAGUCCUUUACGAUUUUUUUGUUUUUUGGUGUACAUUUGAAAAUUCAAAAAUCAGAAAUGAUGUACUUUAGCAUUAAAAAUAAUUUCAGUUAAAGAGCUUGAACAUACGGAUGGAUUAACCAUUAGAGAAACUGAUUCAGAAAUAGCAUGGGUAAUUACCAAAGUCUAAUUUAGCGCAGCUUACAGUGGGUGGUGGUCUAAUGAAUGCGUUAUGCACUAUAGUUAUACAUGGAUUUAAACUGAUGAACUGGGAAGUAUUCUUUGAUAAGGUCAUAGUCAUUACAUGUAUUGUUAUUUUAAAAAAAAAUUUAAAUCAGCUUUUAAAAUUUCCUAAUUUGAUCCAAAAUUUA